CCAUUAUCUCCCAAUAAUGCCAUCAAAUUAUGAUCUCAUCCAUGGAUUAAUCUACCAGUAAAGUAAGAACCCUCAAGAUCUUCCACAAGCCCUACUUGUGAACAUGUAAAAAUUUGCAGCAAUAAUUUAGAUGUAAACCAUGAUGUACCACAACUCCUACCAGUUCACUCUUCUGCCAGCCUCCUGUGCAUCCACAGUCCAACUUCCACAUCUCAAGUGCAAAAUGAAAGGUCUUUGAGUAGAAGCAGAAACCACUGGAGCAGCAGUGUCAGUGCCUCCGCAGAGGUGUUAACUGGGAAUUGAAGAGAGUGGACCAAUUACUAUUUGAACAGAAGAAGAAAUUCACUGUAUAUCUGAACCUGGAUCAUGAUAAGGUCAAAUUACCUGAAAGACAAAAUUUGGCAAGUACUGC
RNAcentral lists this long non-coding RNA (412 nucleotides) under Fukomys damarensis (Damara mole-rat). Its description in RNAcentral is "lncRNA (ENSFDAG00000032436.1)". The record is from RNAcentral. Lineage: Eukaryota; Metazoa; Chordata; Mammalia; Rodentia; Bathyergidae.